This 460-nucleotide ribosomal RNA is filed under the name uncultured bacterium. RNAcentral's name for it is "partial 16S ribosomal RNA". It matches the Rfam family "Bacterial small subunit ribosomal RNA", at positions 338 to 795 of the family's 1533-position model. The record is from RNAcentral.
CCUACGGGCGGCAGCAGUGAGGAAUAUUGGUCAAUGGACGAGAGUCUGAACCAGCCAAGUAGCGUGAAGGAUGACUGCCCUAUGGGUUGUAAACUUCUUUUAUAUGGGAAUAAAAUGUUCCACGUGUGGGCUUUUGUAUGUACCAUAUGAAUAAGGAUCGGCUAACUCCGUGCCAGCAGCCGCGGUAAUACGGAGGAUCCGAGCGUUAUCCGGAUUUAUUGGGUUUAAAGGGAGCGUAGGUGGAUUGUUAAGUCAGGUGUGAAAGUUUGCGGCUCAACCGUAAAAUUGCAGUUGAAACUGGCAGUCUUGAGUACAGUAGAGGUGGGCGGAAUGCGUGGUGUAGCGGUGAAAUGCUUAGAUAUCACGAAGAACUCCGAUUGCGAAGGCAGCUCACUGGACUGCAACUGACACUGAGGCUCGAAAGUGUGGGUAUCAAACAGGAUUAGAUACCCUUGUAGUC